This 492-nucleotide ribosomal RNA is filed under the name uncultured bacterium. RNAcentral describes it as "partial 16S ribosomal RNA". It matches the Rfam family "Bacterial small subunit ribosomal RNA", at positions 29 to 507 of the family's 1533-position model. The record is from RNAcentral.
AGUGAACGCUGGCGGUAGGCCUAACACAUGCAAGUCGAACGGCGGCACAGUAAGAGCUUGCUCUUACGGGUGGCGAGUGGCGGACGGGUGAGGAAUACAUCGGAAUCUAGUUUUUCGGGGGGGAUAACGUAGGGAAACUUACGCUAAUACCGCAUACGACCUACGGGGGAAAGCAGGGGAUCUUCUGACCUUGCGCGAUUGAAUGAGCCGAUGUCGGAUUCGCUAGUUGGCGGGUUAAAGGCCCACGAAGGCGACGAUCCGUAGCUGGUCUGGGAGGAUGGUCAGCCACACUGGAACUGAGACACGGUCCAGACUCCUACGAGAGGCAGCAGUGUGGAAUAUUGGACAAUGGGCGCAAGCCUGAUCCAGCCAUACCGCGUGGGUGAAGAAGGCCUUCGGGUUGUAAAGCCCUUUUGUUGGGAAAGAAAAGCAGCAGGUUAAUACCCCGCUGUUCUGACGGUACCCAAAGAAUAAGCACCGGCUAACUUCGUG